This 472-nucleotide ribosomal RNA is filed under the name uncultured organism. RNAcentral's name for it is "partial 16S ribosomal RNA". It matches the Rfam family "Bacterial small subunit ribosomal RNA", at positions 333 to 797 of the family's 1533-position model. The record is from RNAcentral.
ACACUCCUGCGGGAGGCAGCAGUAGGGAAUCUUCGGCAAUGGGGGCAACCCUGACCGAGCAACGCCGCGUGAGUGAAGAAGGUUUUCGGAUCGUAAAGCUCUGUUGUAAGUCAAGAACGAGUGUGAGAGUGGAAAGUUCACACUGUGACGGUAGCUUACCAGAAAGGGACGGCUAACUACGUGCCAGCAGCCGCGGUAAUACGUAGGUCCCGAGCGUUGUCCGGAUUUAUUGGGCGUAAAGCGAGCGCAGGCGGUUUGAUAAGUCUGAAGUUAAAGGCUGUGGCUCAACCAUAGUUCGCUUUGGAAACUGUCAAACUUGAGUGCAGAAGGGGAGAGUGGAAUUCCAUGUGUAGCGGUGAAAUGCGUAGAUAUAUGGAGGAACACCGGUGGCGAAAGCGGCUCUCUGGUCUGUAACUGACGCUGAGGCUCGAAAGCGUGGGGAGCGAACAGGAUUAGAUACCCGGGUAGUCCC